CAGUAGCCGCGGUAAUACGUAGGUGGCAAGCGUUGUCCGGAUUUACUGGGCGUAAAGCGAACGCAGGCUGGCUGUUAAGUGGGAAGUGAAAGGUCGGAGCUCAACUCCAACAUUGCUUCCUAUACUGGCAGUCUUGAGUAGCGGAGAGGAAGGGGGAACGACACGUGUAGCGGUGAAAUGCGUUGAUAUGUGUCGGAACACCCAUGGCGAAAGCACCCUUCUGGACGCAAACUGACGCUCAGGUUCGAAAGCCAAGGUAGCGAACAGGAUUAGAUACCCCGGUAGUCCCUGUCUCUUAUAC
This 301-nucleotide ribosomal RNA is filed under the name uncultured bacterium. RNAcentral describes it as "partial 16S ribosomal RNA". It matches the Rfam family "Bacterial small subunit ribosomal RNA", at positions 509 to 807 of the family's 1533-position model. The record is from RNAcentral.